RNAcentral lists this ribosomal RNA (429 nucleotides) under Pseudomonadota bacterium. Its description in RNAcentral is "Proteobacteria bacterium partial 16S ribosomal RNA". It matches the Rfam family "Bacterial small subunit ribosomal RNA", at positions 355 to 776 of the family's 1533-position model. The record is from RNAcentral. Lineage: Bacteria; Pseudomonadati; Pseudomonadota.
UGGGGAAUAUUGGACAAUGGGCGAAAGCCUGAUCCAGCCAUGCCGCGUGUGUGAAGAAGGUCUUCGGAUUGUAAAGCACUUUAAGUUGGGAGGAAGGGCAGUAAGCGAAUACCUUGCUGUUUUGACGUUACCGACAGAAUAAGCACCGGCUAACUCUGUGCCAGCAGCCGCGGUAAUACAGAGGGUGCAAGCGUUAAUCGAAAUUACUGGGCGUAAAGCGCGCGUAGGUGGUUCGUUAAGUUGAAUGUGAAAGCCCCGGGCUCAACCUGGGAACUGCAUCCAAAACUGGCGAGCUAGAGUAGAGCAGAGGGUGGUGGAAUUUCCUGUGUAGCGGUGAAAUGCGUAGAUAUAGGAAGGAACACCAGUGGCGAAGGCGACCACCUGGGCUCAUACUGACACUGAGGUGCGAAAGCGUGGGGAGCAAACAGG